This 472-nucleotide ribosomal RNA is filed under the name uncultured bacterium. RNAcentral describes it as "bacterial SSU rRNA". It matches the Rfam family "Bacterial small subunit ribosomal RNA", at positions 355 to 825 of the family's 1533-position model. The record is from RNAcentral.
UGGGGAAUAUUGGGCAAUGGGCGCAAGCCUGACCCAGCCACGCCGCGUGAGUGAUGAAGGCCUUCGGGUCGUAAAGCUCUGUGGGGAAGGACGAAAAAACAUUGGCUAAUAUCCAAUGGCUUGACGGUACUUCCUUAGCAAGCACCGGCUAACUCUGUACCAGCAGCCGCGGUAAUACAGAGGGUGCAAACGUUGCUCGGAAUCAUUGGGCGUAAAGCGCACGUAGGCGGCCUGAUAAGUCGGUAGUGAAAGCCCUCGGCUUAACCGAGGAAGUGCUAUCGAAACUGCCAGGCUUGAGUACCGGAGAGGAUCGCGGAAUUCCCGGUGUAGAGGUGAAAUUCGUAGAUAUCGGGAGGAACACCAGUGGCGAAGGCGGCGAUCUGGACGGAUACUGACGCUGAGGUGCGAAAGCGUGGGGAGCGAAACAGGAUUAGAUACCCUGGUAGUCCCUGAGCGGGCUGGCAAGGCGCAU